CCUACGGGAGGCUGCAGUGGGGAAUAUUGGACAAUGGGGGAAACCCUGAUGCAGCGACGCCGCGUGAGUGAGGAAGUAUCUCGGUAUGUAAAGCUUCAUCUGCAGGGGAGAAAAUGACGGUACCUGACUAAGAAGCCCCGUCUAACUACGUGACAGCAGCCGCGGUAACAUGCCGGGGGCAAGGGUUAUCCGGAUUUACGGGGUGUAAUGGGGGCGUAGACGGCUAAUCAAGUCCGAGGUGAAAGCCCAGGGCUCAACCUUGGGACUGCUUUUGAAACUGAGUGGCUGGAGUGCAGGAGAGGUAUGCGGAAUUCGUAGUGUAGCGGUGAAAUGCGUAGAUAUUAGGAGGAACACCGAUGGCGAAGGCAGCUUACUGGACUGUAACUGACGCUGAGGCUCGAAAGCGUGGGGAUCGAACAGGAUUAGAUACCCUUGUAGUC
Molecule: ribosomal RNA, 440 nt
Filed under: uncultured bacterium
Lineage: Bacteria
Description: partial 16S ribosomal RNA
Rfam family: Bacterial small subunit ribosomal RNA
Source: RNAcentral